Non-coding RNA from Pseudonaja textilis, 97 nucleotides. Lineage: Eukaryota; Metazoa; Chordata; Lepidosauria; Squamata; Elapidae. The record is from RefSeq and is a predicted model, not a curated record.
ACUUAUAUUUUCCUUUUUUAUUUCCAUACCUUUUAUUUCUUUGUCUUGUCAAAUAUUUCUAGUUAGCACUUCCAAGGUCAACACAAAUAACAGAGGU